UUGGGUUAAUGAAGUAAGUUGUUAUAAAGAUAGCAAAUAUUUAUCUGAAUAUUGGUUAAUAUAGUAAACCAAGUUUCAAAAUUUAAUAUUUUGGAAUACAUGAUUAUUUGAGUAGUAAAUUUUGUGUUAUAUGUCGAACGUAUACGAUGAGGCUUAGAAUGUAAGGAAAUGAAGAAUAAUUUACGAUUAUGCCACCGAGAGGAAAACGAAAACCAGCCGCGGAAGAUCAACCAGAUAAUCGAACGUCGAACGCCAAAGACUUUAUGGCAAUCUUAUUGCUAGGGUAUAGAGGAUUAAGUGACUCAGUAGAAGCGUUUAUGAUAGUUAGGAUAACGGAAAGGGCAAAAGAUAACUUUUAUCACCUAUAUGAUAAAAGGGAAAUGAGAUAAAGAAAAAGUUUGUGUGCUAUGUGUGAGGGCAGAAGAGACAUAUCUCUUCC
RNAcentral lists this long non-coding RNA (439 nucleotides) under Panax ginseng (ginseng). Its description in RNAcentral is "long non-coding RNA (PGIN_LNC009973)". The record is from RNAcentral. Lineage: Eukaryota; Viridiplantae; Streptophyta; Magnoliopsida; Apiales; Araliaceae.